UACGGCGAGUGAGAGGAAGAGCUCAAAGUUGGAACCUGUUUGGCCUAGCUAAACCGGAUUGUAAACUGCAUAAGUGUUUUCCUGGCACGCUUGGUAAAUAAGUCCUUUGGAACAGGGCAUCAUAGAGGGUGAGAAUCCCGUCUUUGGCCAAAGCAGUGUCUUUUGUGAUACACUUUCAAAGAGUCAGGUUGUUUGGGAAUGCAGCCUAAAUUGGGUGGUAAAUCUCACCUAAAGCUAAAUAUCUGCGAGAGACCGAUAGCGAACAAGUACCGUGAGGGAAAGAUGAAAAGAACUUUGAAAAGAGAGUUAAACAGUACGUGAAAUUGUUAAAAUGGAACGGUUUGAAGCCAGACUGGCUUGGUUGUAAUCAGUCUAGGAUUCGUCCUGGAUGCACUUGCAGCCUAUUGCCUGCCAACGACAGUUUUUCUUGGGGGAAAAAACUGGGGGAAAUGUGGCCCUUCGGGGUGUUAUAGUCCCUUUGAAAAUACCCUGGGAGAGACUGAGGAACGCAGUGAAUGCCUUUAGGCAAGAUUGCUGAGCGCUUUUGUUGAUACAUGCUAGAAUUUCUGCUUCGGGUGGUGCUAGUGUGUAAAGGCAGAACCCGCCUAGUAUAUUUUUCAUUCACUUAGGUUGUUGGCUUAAUGACUUUAAAUCACCCGUCUUGAAACACCGGACCAAA
This 679-nucleotide ribosomal RNA is filed under the name Mucor sp. RNAcentral describes it as "LSU rRNA". It matches the Rfam family "Eukaryotic large subunit ribosomal RNA", at positions 84 to 670 of the family's 3401-position model. Lineage: Eukaryota; Fungi; Mucoromycota; Mucoromycetes; Mucorales; Mucoraceae. The record is from RNAcentral.